CAGCAGCCACGGGAAUACGAAGGUCCCGAGCGUUGUUCGGAAUCACUGGGCGUAAAGCGCACGUAGGCGGCUUGGUAAGUUAGAGGUGAAAGCCUGGAGCUCAACUCCAGAAUUGCCUUUAAGACUGCCGAGCUAGCAGGUGAGAGAGGUAAGUGGAAUCCCGAGUGUAGAGGUGAAAUUCGUAGAUAUUCGGAAGAACACCAGUGGCGAAGGCGGCUUACUGGCUCAUACUGGACGCUGAGGUGCGAAAGCGUGGGGAGCAAACAGGAUUAGAUACCCCUGUAGUCCCUGUCUCUUAUAC
This 301-nucleotide ribosomal RNA is filed under the name uncultured bacterium. RNAcentral's name for it is "partial 16S ribosomal RNA". It matches the Rfam family "Bacterial small subunit ribosomal RNA", at positions 509 to 807 of the family's 1533-position model. The record is from RNAcentral.